AGAGGUUUUAAUAUACCUGUCUGGUGAGGCUGGAGAUGUGCUCAAUCACUCUUUCACCUUUGCCAUUUUAUUACACUCUGACCAAACCAGACGACAUGCAAGUCCCAGAGCAAAAUGUAUUUUUCACUAUUCUAAGACCUUGUAGUUAGAAUUAGAAUGCAACUUCCUUUCCCUCCUUACUUGGCUAGCUCCUAUUAUUCCAUAAAGCCUCAAUUAAUUUUGUAACCACCAAAGUUAUGGAUGCUACAGUUUCCAUAACUGGGUGAAAUAAAUGAGUGAAAGAACACAGUCUCAAAGCAUCACCCCACUGAUCAAAGGGAAAACAUCUUUACAGAGGAGAAACCUGGUAGAUGCCACCUUAUCCAACUAAUUGAUCAGGGUUGGUA
Non-coding RNA from Callorhinus ursinus (northern fur seal), 386 nucleotides. Lineage: Eukaryota; Metazoa; Chordata; Mammalia; Carnivora; Otariidae. The record is from RefSeq and is a predicted model, not a curated record.